AAAUAGUCAACACCUCUUAUUUCCAAUUCUCACUACUCAAAACUCUCAUUUUUCCACUAAACACUUCAAAACUUCAAGAAUGAACCUCAAUCUUUGCUCCAUAUCAGUUUUCAACCAUAUAUAUCUCAUCUAACAAGUCCCAAUUAACCACAUAACAGUGCUAGACCAGUUGUCAUCUCACUCUAAUACCAAAUUAUCAAUUUCAC
RNAcentral lists this long non-coding RNA (206 nucleotides) under Vigna radiata. RNAcentral describes it as "long non-coding RNA (VRAD_LNC012632)". The record is from RNAcentral. Lineage: Eukaryota; Viridiplantae; Streptophyta; Magnoliopsida; Fabales; Fabaceae.